Manis javanica (Malayan pangolin) is the source of this 589-nucleotide long non-coding RNA. RefSeq lists it as uncharacterized. The record is from RefSeq and is a predicted model, not a curated record. NCBI's taxonomy places the organism in Eukaryota, Metazoa, Chordata, Mammalia, Pholidota, Manidae.
GACAAGUAAUGAUUCUACUUGGUGAAGGGGGGACCCUAGUAAACAUAGUGUUCUUCAUGUAAUUGUAGAUUAACAAUAACAACAACAACAGCAAAAACUCUCUUUGAUGCAGCAGAAACGAUCAGCCUUCAGCUAGGAAUCUUCAACUAUGAGUUCUUGGAUUAUAGCCCAUUGCUUGGCUCCUUCCUGAUUGGGUCCUGCAUUAUUUUCAUGACAUCUGUGGUGCUGAAUCUGUUUAUCUCUGUCAUCCCAGUGGUCUUCAAUGAGGAGCAAAAAUACUAUCAGCUGUUGGAGGAAGAAGAGAUUGUUGAUUCGCUACUGAUGAAAAUACUCAGUUUCCUGGGCAUUAAAUAUAGAAGAGAGGAGUCUGGAAGCAGCAGUGAGCAGCUCGAGUUGCUGUCAGAGGCACAGGCCCCUCAUCCUGUACCGGCUACACCCACAGUCUAAGCUGCUCUGCCAUGCUGUCAUCUGUAGAGUGGGGGAAAGUCAGCUUUGGGCCCACACUUAUAGAUUUUGUAACCUUUCCAGGUUGAUGUUCUCCUGUGUCCAUAAAGUUACCAAGCCUGACAGGUAAAAAAAAAAAAAAAGG